CCCGGUCUAGUUCAGUGGUCAGAACGCCGCGCUGUGGACGCGGAAACGUUGCGGUUCGAUUCCGCCGGCCGGGACCA
Molecule: transfer RNA, 77 nt
Filed under: Rhodopseudomonas sp. BR0C11
Lineage: Bacteria; Pseudomonadati; Pseudomonadota; Alphaproteobacteria; Hyphomicrobiales; Nitrobacteraceae
Description: tRNA-His
Rfam family: tRNA
About the family: Transfer RNA (tRNA) molecules are approximately 80 nucleotides in length. Their secondary structure includes four short double-helical elements and three loops (D, anti-codon, and T loops).
Source: RNAcentral